Small nuclear RNA from Macaca fascicularis (crab-eating macaque), 155 nucleotides. Its record names the gene U1. It matches the Rfam family "U1 spliceosomal RNA". From Rfam's summary of the family: U1 is a small nuclear RNA (snRNA) component of the spliceosome (involved in pre-mRNA splicing). Its 5' end forms complementary base pairs with the 5' splice junction, thus defining the 5' donor site of an intron. NCBI's taxonomy places the organism in Eukaryota, Metazoa, Chordata, Mammalia, Primates, Cercopithecidae. The record is from Ensembl.
AUCCUGACCUGGCAGGGGAGAGGCCAUGCUCACGAACGUGGUUCUCCCAGAGUGAGGCUUAUCCAUUGCACUCCAGAUGUGCUGACCCCUGCCACUUCCCCAAAUGUAGAUCUUUUUAUUUAUUUAUUUAUUUGUUUGAGACAGUCUUGCUCUGU